Molecule: ribosomal RNA, 379 nt
Filed under: uncultured cyanobacterium
Lineage: Bacteria; Bacillati; Cyanobacteriota
Description: bacterial SSU rRNA
Rfam family: Bacterial small subunit ribosomal RNA
Source: RNAcentral
CGAAAGCCUGACGGAGCAACGCCGCGUGUGGGAAGAAGGCUCUUGGGCUGUCAACCACUUUUCUCAGGGAAGAAGACCUGACGGUACCUGAGGAAUCAGCCUCGGCUAACUCCGUGCCAGCAGCCGCGGUAAUACGGAGGAGGCAAGCGUUAUCCGGAAUUAUUGGGCGUAAAGCGUCCGCAGGGGGCGCAUCAAGUCUGCUGUCAAAGACCGAGGCUCAACCUCGGGUCGGCAGUGGAAACUGGUGGGCUAGAGGGCGACAGGGGUAGAGGGAAUUCCCAGUGUAGCGGUGAAAUGCGUAGAGAUUGGGAAGAACACCGGUGGCGAAAGCGCUCUACUGGGUCGCACCUGACCCUCAGGGACGAAAGCUAAGGUAGCG